Molecule: ribosomal RNA, 183 nt
Filed under: uncultured bacterium
Lineage: Bacteria
Description: partial 16S ribosomal RNA
Rfam family: Bacterial small subunit ribosomal RNA
Source: RNAcentral
UAGGGAAUCUUCCACAAUGGGCGCAAGCCUGAUGGAGCAACACCGCGUGAGUGAAGAAGGGUUUCGGCUCGUAAAGCUCUGUUGUUGGAGAAGAACGUGCGUGAGAGUAACUGUUCACGCAGUGACGGUAUCCAACCAGAAAGUCACGGCUAACUACGUGCCAGCACCGCGGUAAUACUGACU